Long non-coding RNA from Mytilus californianus (California mussel), 2224 nucleotides. RefSeq lists it as uncharacterized. The record is from RefSeq and is a predicted model, not a curated record. Lineage: Eukaryota; Metazoa; Mollusca; Bivalvia; Mytilida; Mytilidae. The transcript has 6 exons.
UUUUAUGACCCCAAUAAGAAAUGGACGAAAACGAAAGAAGGAAUAAAAUUUAGCAUUAUAAUGCAUUACUGUAAAUAAAACAUUUCAACUCUAUCAUUAAAUUGAUAAUGUAGUUGGCUUUUUGUAGGUAGAACAUGUAUGCAACGUUUCCUUAAAUAUAACUUUUUUCACUGGACACUUCAUCUGUUGAUAUAUAACUGUCACAAAAAAUGCUACAGACAAAUGACAUAGAUUGAACAAUGGUGCAUAGGAAACAAUGAAAUCAGAAGGUAACAAUCUGUACAAAAUCAAGACUACUGUGAGAAGGAUAGAGUUGGAUAUACAGAAUGCAAUAUGUGAUGAAGAAGAUGUUACACGGAAUGCUAUAUAUGAAAAAUUGGAAGCAGAGAUAUCUAAUGAUGGAGAUGAUUGUAAUGAUGGGCCCCCACCUAAAAUCUCAGAUUUCUUAAAAUUAAUCAAUGAUCCACUUUGUAAAAAAAUUGCAAAAUCAUAUUCUACAUGUGGAGAUGAAAUGUUUCAAUGCUUUUCUAAACAGACCCUGGAAACUUUUCGUAACUUACGUGCAAUUGGUGAUGAAUGGGAUAGACGCUAUGAUUUUUUGGAAUUUUUAUUUAUAAAUGUAGCUGAGUCUGCAAAGUUCACAGAUUUAUUCAAUAUUGCAUUAAGAUUGUUUAAAGAUGGUAUAACCUGGAGACGUCUUUGUCUUUUUUUGGAUAUUGUCAGAACGGUAGCAAUAAGAUAUUUAGUAGUUUAUUUACGUAGGAGUAUGAAUAUGCUACUUCCAGAUGCAGAAGGGUUUAUACGGAGGUUUGAAAUAAAUAGAAUAUGGAAUACAAGAAAUAGAAAUUGGAGAAAUAACAGUCCUUCAAAGUAUGCAUACAUAGCUGUCCCUGCUAUAGCAAUGGCUGGGACUGCAUUUUACUUCUGCUGGAAAUCAUAAACAGGAAUCUAUUAAACAGCCAAGACACCUUAUAUGGUUUGUAGUUCUUACUGAAUCUAAUAAUAUUUGUAUGGAGAAUAUAUAUACAUGUAGGUAAUUGUUGAGAAUCACAAAUGGACAAAUUUGAUUUAUACAGACCAAAGGAUAAUAUGUCAACCUUGGAAGUAACUGAAUAAUACAUAUGGAAUGCUAUAAAGAAAAAAAGAAAGAAAAAAAAAACUCGCCAAAAUAAAAUCUGGCAGAUUAAAUGCUGCAUACAAAAUUGCUACAAACUUAAGGAUUGUAAUCAAUAUCAGAAUGCCAAGUAUUAAUAUUGGUCAAAGGUGCAUUCAGUCUUCAAAAAAAAAUUAUAAUUUUAUUUAUAUUUUGUAUUUUGAUUCCUCUAAUUUUUUCUCUAUUUUCACAUUUCCCUACCGAUUGUGAAAAAAAUUGUUCUCCUCACUAGUGAAAUAUCUGUUCUUGGCAAAUGAUUGGUCGAAAUUUAAUUAUGACAUCAAAUUUUCUUGGUUUCUUCUAAAUUUUCUAUUGUGACAUCAUGCCUGAUGACGUCACAUAUAAAGAACACAACUUUCUGCAAAUCUGCAAAUCUUUGAAAAGGAAGGAUAAAAAUCAUUAGAGAAACAGAUUCCACCACUACAACUCUUGUAUUACGAUAUUUCUCCACUCUCAAUGUUAAAUUUUAAUUGUUUUAAAAGCUCGGCCAGCCUUGCACUUUAAUAUUAAAUAUUAACUGUCUUGAUUGGAGAAAUAUUGUAACACACUUGUUGCAGUGGUGGAUCGAUAUUUAUAUAAUUUAGAUGAAAACAUGCUAUCAUAAAUUUGUUAUUCAAAACUUGUGUACACAGAUUUUAAUUUGCUAUUUUUAAUAUCAUUCCCUGUAUUGAAUUUAUUUCAAAGGUAUUAGUUUACUUGAUGUUAGUGAUAAUUCUUUUUUAUUGUUAUGCAUUGAUUACAGUGGCGGAUCCAGGGUUUUCAAAAAGGGGGAGUGGCCAACUGCAAAAAAAUCAGAAAAAAAUGUUAAAAUUUUUUUUAGCCACGUUUAUCCAUCGCAUUUUACAAUUGGAAGAUUGAUUUUGGUGGGCAAUACAUCAAGAUUUAUUGUACACUGUUAUGUUUCACAUGUCUAGGCAGCAAAAUAACAAACUGUGAUAAUUAAAUUGAAAAUAUAAUUGUAAGUUUUAUUAUAUUUUGAUAUCAUUUUGUACUCAAUAUAUUAUUUUUACACUUGUCAUAUCUUGCAAUAAUUAUAGUUUUACUUAAAAAUGGUUUUACCUGUUGUUUUCA